GUCUUUGACACAAGGGGAAGAUGUGUUACCAGCAGCCACAGCUGCAUUGCAACCACAGCCAGCAGCAUGGGGCUCGCAGUCCCCCUGUGCUCUAGCAGCACUCAGCCAGCUUUGCUGGCCUUCCCUUUCUGAGGCCACGCAUAGAUCUGCCAGCAAAAAAAUCAUCUUCAGCAUCCUUCCCACAGUCCUGAGGCAUGGCCUGCCUGCAGAGAGGCAGCAUGACCAGCCCAGCACCCUGCCCUGUGCUGCUGGGGGGACAUGGCCUUCAUUUGGGGUAGCAUCCCCCAGGGCAUGCACAGAGACCCUUCCUCUUAGCUACAUCGUGAGCAUCCCAGCAUUCGCAGCAGGACGGGCUGAUGGACAGUAACACGAGCUGGUACAAGCUGGGAACGGACACCGUCCCCUUUGAACACUGCCCUUGUGGAGGGGCUAAUGCUGCAGUCACAGCAACUGGGGAACAGCCAGCACAACCAGUGGCUCCUGUUUCCCCAAGAGGACCAAGUUCAUCCUUGGCAGGUGAAGAGGGGAUCCUGGCUGUGCCCUGGGCUCAGCCCUGUUCUGCUGUGGGAAGUUUCCCAGACACCUUCACGUGUGUGUUUGCAGUUAGUCUCUGACUCUGGCUCCUCAUUUUGCACAGUCGGCCUUUUCAGUGGUCCUCUGCCCCCAGCAUCACGUGCUGUGGCUAUAUCAGUGAGAAAAGCCAGCUAGGGACCCUUCUCUAGCCCCAAGGCCCAGUAGCAUGGCUGUGGCUAUACAGCUAAGGCCCUCUCCUGCCCAAGGCACACAGCUACAUCUGAGUUGCCUGGUGAGAGCAGCCCUUAGUCCAUGUUAUCUCCCAGUGCCCAGCCACUGCAUGGGAGAGAGCAACUGCCCCGGCAAAGCCGUGCUGAGGCAUGCUGCCCAUGAAGGCGCUGGGUGACCAGGACAGCGCUCUGGCCUGUUAUCGGUGCAGGUGGCAUCCAUGGCGGCGGAUGCAUUUAACAAGACCCUUUGGCAUCACGGCCACUCUGGAGGUGGGCAGGCAGGAGGCAGGAGUGCUGACGCAGGGGCUCGUCUUGCACCGCACAGAACCAGUGUCCCGUUGGGUGCUGGGAAUGCCCUCAGGGGCCUCAGCACUGGUCUCUGCCCCGCUCGGCACACUGGGGUGAACCACCUCCAUCUGCAGAGUAGUGCACUGCCACCCCCACAAACACUGACAGUUUGCCCCAAGCUGUUUCUGCUCCAACAAGAAGCAGGAGUUUGCUGCAGUCUAAUUUCUAGCCUGGUUAUGGGCCAAAUGAUAUUCCUGUUCUUGUAUCAACAUUGUCUUUUAGCUGAAAUAGCUUUUAAUGUAUCCACAGGGCCUGGGGACCCACCGCUCACCUCUCCUGGAGGGAAGGCUCAGCCUCUCAGUUCGUUUCAUGGCUACCUGCUCCCUGCUUCCCCAGAGGUGUAGACGAACAGUUUGACCAGUGUGCUUUUGCCAAUCCCAGCCACUCCCACAGUCAUGGAGAUCCGAGGGGGGAUGCUGACCUUGGAGAGAGCAUGACCUCAGACCUGCCUCAUCGCUAUGCACUUUUCCUGGCAAUCACCGGACUGGGUCGGACCCUGAUUACCCUCACCGGACCUGAUCCCAACCUGCAGAUUGACUUCCCAGCCCGACCUUGUACCUGCCUCCUCGCCGUGGACUUACCUGAUGAUGCCGACUUCUGGUUGAACCUGGCUGCCAGCUCGGGGGCUGUCCUGCUCACCUCGCUCAGGCUGCAGAAUAGUCUCAGAGGGUGCAUGGCCCACCUGAGGUCCUGCUGCAUCUCUGAUAAUGGCACUGCUGCACUGGGGUGGCAGUAGAGGAUUCAUCCCAAUUCUGUCAGACUGUCUGAGCGAAUUCCCUGGGACAUGCCGUCUUCCCACAGUAGGUAAGGUGUCUGUGCUGCAUUCCCCUGGAGAUGCCUCUUUGUCUCCUGUGACUCACACAAGCCUAGAUGCUGGCUUAACCCUUGGCCACCACUCUGCUCUCCCCACGAGGGGCAUGAGCCAUUGCCCCCAGUGUGGCCAUUGAUGAAUGCCAGGGCUGCCCCUAGAGGUUCACUGAGACCCUGGAGGAAGGUCUCUUAGACUUGGCACGCAGCUCUCGUCACCCCACCCAGCCAUGUCCUUCCCCAGCCAAGGCUGGAGGAGGCCCUAGAACAACCCCAUCACUCAUGCAGGGCUCCUGACCAUGACUGAGCUGCCGAACACAACCUGGCUCUGUGCACAUCUCAGGGGUGCUCCAGCGAGCACCCAUAACCAGGGAACAUGCCCAUGGACACCCUGUGUUGGACCCAAAUAUGGCCUGCCUACCAUAGACAGUGAUGUGGAGGUAGAGCUGGGAAUUGGUGGUCUCGAUGAAGGUCUGCAGGGACUGUGAGGCGUAGCUGCCCUUGCCAGCCAGGACAUCCACCACAGCCCUCACCUGCUCCGGCACGGAGCUCACCUCCUGCACACGG
This is a long non-coding RNA of Dromaius novaehollandiae (emu), 2465 nucleotides long. RefSeq lists it as uncharacterized. The transcript is spliced from 4 exons. NCBI's taxonomy places the organism in Eukaryota, Metazoa, Chordata, Aves, Casuariiformes, Dromaiidae. The record is from RefSeq and is a predicted model, not a curated record.